GCUAUCUUAGUUUAUUAAAAACUUUAUAUUGUGGUUAUAAGGAAAGGAUUUUGUGUCUUAGGUAGUA
Molecule: transfer RNA, 67 nt
Filed under: Xyloredo nooi
Lineage: Eukaryota; Metazoa; Mollusca; Bivalvia; Myida; Pholadidae
Description: tRNA-His
Source: RNAcentral